CGAAGGGGGCUAGCGUUGCUCGGAAUUACUGGGCGUAAAGGGAGCGUAGGCGGACAUUUAAGUCAGGGGUGAAAUCCCGGAGCUCAACUCCGGAACUGCCUUUGAUACUGGGUGUCUUGAGUGUGAGAGAGGUAUGUGGAACUCCGAGUGUAGAGGUGAAAUUCGUAGAUAUUCGGAAGAACACCAGUGGCGAAGGCGACAUACUGGCUCAUUACUGACGCUGAGGCUCGAAAGCGUGGGGAGCAAACAGGAUUAGAUACCCUGGUAGUCCACGCCGUAAACGAUGAUUGCUAGUUGUCGGGAAGCUUGCUUCUCGGUGACGCAGCUAACGCAUUAAGCAAUCCGCCUGGGGAGUACGGUCGCAAGAUUA
RNAcentral lists this ribosomal RNA (370 nucleotides) under uncultured organism. RNAcentral's name for it is "bacterial SSU rRNA". It matches the Rfam family "Bacterial small subunit ribosomal RNA", at positions 526 to 896 of the family's 1533-position model. The record is from RNAcentral.